RNAcentral lists this ribosomal RNA (774 nucleotides) under uncultured Neocallimastigales. RNAcentral's name for it is "partial large subunit ribosomal RNA". It matches the Rfam family "Eukaryotic large subunit ribosomal RNA", at positions 22 to 628 of the family's 3401-position model. Lineage: Eukaryota; Fungi; Neocallimastigomycota; Neocallimastigomycetes; Neocallimastigales. The record is from RNAcentral.
GUACACGCUGUGACUAGCAUAUCAAUAAGCGGAGGAAAAGAAACUAACUAGGAUUCCCUCAGUAACGGCGAGUGAAGCGGGAAGAGCUCAAAUUUGAAAUCUUCAAGGUUCUACCUUGACGAAUUGUAGUCUAAAGAAGUGUUUUCUGUUGGAGUUUUGGUAAAAGUUCUUUGGAAUAGGACAUCAUAGAGAGUGAGAAUCCCGUAUUUGACCAUUAUUUCCAGCUUUGUGAUACACUUUCAAAGAGUCGGAUUGUUUGGGAAUGCAGUCCAAAAUGGGUGGUAAAUUUCAUCUAAAGCUAAAUAUUGGCGAGAGACCGAUAGCGAACAAGUACCGUGAGGGAAAGAUGAAAAGAACUUUGAAAAGAGAGUUAAACAGUACGUGAAAUUGUCAAAAGGGAAGCGUUUGACACCAGUGUUGUUUUCUCGAAAAUCAAUUAAAAAAGGCAGGAUUUUGUGUUGUAUUGACUUUAUCAGCUUUCUGCACUCUUUUCUUGUCUUUUUUAAUGCACUUUUCGUUUAACAAGUCAACAUCAAUUUCUUUUGUUGUAAAAGGGUCAUUGGAAGGUGGCUUUCUUUUCGGAGAAAGUGUUUAUAGCCUUUGCUCUCUGCAAUCGGAGAGAUUGAGGUCUGCAGCGUAGAUCCUUCGGGGUUAGAUACAUUUGUGCUAAGUUAUAGCCUUUCAUAAACAACUUGUUGACUACGAUCAGUCAUGUAGCUUACUCGCUUAUGCUAUUUUACCUACGCUUAGGAUGUUGAAGACUCUACAGAGAUA